GGGUAGUUCGGUAUGCCCAUAACACAUGAUAAAGCUCGUCUGUCCAAGUUUCCUUUGCUCUUUCAAGUCUCGCCUUGAUUCCUUGCAACAGAGUCCUGUUAGUCACCUCGGCUUCAUCGUUUGCCUGCGGAUGGGCUACCAACGUGAAGUUAUGGGAUGGGAGAUGUUUAGGUCUUCACAAAAUUCAGCAAACCUUGCUCCAGCAAAUUGUCGCCCAUUAUCAAUAAUGAGAAUUUUGGGUAAGCCGAACCUACAAACGAUUG
This 263-nucleotide long non-coding RNA is filed under the name Elaeis guineensis (African oil palm). RNAcentral's name for it is "long non-coding RNA (EGUI_LNC080603)". Lineage: Eukaryota; Viridiplantae; Streptophyta; Magnoliopsida; Arecales; Arecaceae. The record is from RNAcentral.